CCCAAGCACUCCGUCGGCGACCAUCGUACAGAGACCCCAAGCACUCUGCCAGCGACCAUCCUCCUCCGCCGUCGUCCCUCACCACCAUCCUCCUCUGCAGAUGUCCUCUCCCGAGCAGGCCCUCCGCACAAGCUCAACCGAGCACCAAGGAGGUCCUCAAGUGGCGCCGCCUCCUUAUUGAGCUCCUCUGGCAGCUGCACCUUCUCCACCGGCCACACCUCCAUUAGAGAUUGGCAAUUAUAGUGGAACUGGUCAAGAAUGGACAAGAGUUGGAUGGAUAAAGCUAGAAACACACAAGCAUAUAUUGACGGGGUAGUGAAAUUCAGAGUUUCCUUUUACUCAUUCAGCAAGAGGAAAUGUUAUAUUAUGUCCUUGUAAAAAAUGCUUCAAUUGUUGCUGGUGUGAAGCUAGUGUUGUCUAUGAAGACUUGUUAUGUUAUGGGUUUAUUAGUGGGUACAAAAGAUGGAUAUAUCAUGGGGAGUUGCAAUCACACAAAAAAAUCAUCAGAAAGGAAAGGAUGUGAUACUGUAUAAUGUUUAUCGAGACAAUGCUAGCCCAGUGGCAAAAGCAAUCAUUCUAUCAAUUGAUCGGAGAAAGUUGGUAGGUGGUCAGGAGCUUGGCCUUGAAUAUUGUGAGGUUGUCGUGAACUAUGUAAUAAAAAGGGAUGCUAUACUACCUCGUGGUGUUGGGAACAUGAACACCAUGGGGCAAGCUCAAGGGCGGUGCAUCGCAUAGCCAUACAAGCAUUUGGAAGUGGACAAGCCCAUGGCAAAAGAAGGAAUGUAACCACAAGCAAGCUGAGGAGAUGGAAGAUUUCUGUAUGUGCACUUCAAACAAUCCCUGCUUGAUCUAAUGAUGUAACAUUGCUUGUUGUGAUGAUGAAGUGUUGUACAUUUACAAGAAUUCUAUUUAUGCCGACUAGUUAAACUGCAGCAUGUUGUUACUUAAAAAAUCUGAAAUGAGAGCUACAUUUCGAAUUUCCUGUCUGUUACAGGUUUCACUACAGAAGUUGACGGAGAUUAGGAAGAUCUUGAAGCUGCUGAAGAUUUGGAAGAUCGAUGAUUAAGUUGGAGGAGUGAUGAUGUAAUAUGCUUUGUUUGUUGAACCUGGACAGUUGCUCUGUUCAUUUUGCUGGUUAAGCCCCUAUAUGCUCAUUUUGGUUGUGUGGCACUCCCAGAAACAUAUGUACUUUCUCCUUUUGUGGCAAUACUUUAGUUUGGUUGUGGAACAUUUAACAUAUAU
This is a long non-coding RNA of Triticum dicoccoides, 1242 nucleotides long. RefSeq lists it as uncharacterized. Lineage: Eukaryota; Viridiplantae; Streptophyta; Magnoliopsida; Poales; Poaceae. The transcript is spliced from 5 exons. The record is from RefSeq and is a predicted model, not a curated record.